Molecule: non-coding RNA, 216 nt
Organism: Vicia faba (fava bean)
Lineage: Eukaryota; Viridiplantae; Streptophyta; Magnoliopsida; Fabales; Fabaceae
Source: the annotation of a GenBank genome assembly
AUGAAACCCAGGAUUGGUUGCACUGUUGUAUGUUUAGCAUUGGUAUUAUUGGCUGUAUUGUUGCUAUUGCAAGAGAUCUCAAGGCUUUUGUUUGCAUUACAGUCAAUGAGGAGACUUAGAAAAAGUUUUGCAGGGAUACUAUUGUGUAGCUGGGAUCAAGGGACCGGGACAUGUAUAAGAGCCGAAGCUUGCUCUGUAUGUAUUUUUAGAAUAUGA